Gorilla gorilla gorilla (western lowland gorilla) is the source of this 3875-nucleotide long non-coding RNA. RefSeq lists it as uncharacterized. The record is from RefSeq and is a predicted model, not a curated record. The transcript has 3 exons. Lineage: Eukaryota; Metazoa; Chordata; Mammalia; Primates; Hominidae.
GCCACCAUGUGAGAUGUGCCUUUUACCAUCCACCAUGAUAGUGAGGCCUCCUCAGCCACGUGGAACUGUGGAAAUCCUAUUCUAGCAUUAAUUUUGAUGAUAAUACACCUACCUCUGAAUUUACUAAAAACAUUGCAUUGAACACUUCAAAUGGUUGAAUUGUAUGGAGGAACAUUUGCUCUUGAUGAACAGUCUCACUGCUCCUCCUGGACGUGACCUGUUGACUCCCGCAGCUGUCCCCAUUGGUGCUUUCUGUCUUACAUUUAUUGCGGAUACUCACUUUGUAAAUCUUCACGUCCAAUUUCUAAGAUGUUAUUUCUGUUCUGUUUUGUUCCAACUCAACUAUAUUUUCAUUUCUUGGUAACGUGCCAAUCAUAUAGUUACUUGAUUAAGGUACUGGAUCAAUUUGUUCAAUAUCUCAGUCCUCAUGUACAGCUUACUGAAGAGUGUGAGGGACAGAAUUGGAGUUCCCUUGUAACGUGAGGGUGGUCGGGGAAUAGGAGGUCCAUAGAUUCUAAUACAUACAUAUCAAGUGUUAUCUCUACCCAUUAAACUAGGAAUUUCAUGUGCAUUUACUUUUAUUGAUAUUCUUAGGCACUAUUGAAAGAGCUUAUAUAACGUUUUUAAGGUAUUAUAAAGUAUAAAGAAUAUAUUAUCAAAUCAUAUUUGUUAUUUUCCAAAUCUUCAACUUUAGGUUUUAAGCUAAAAAUAAAUUAUAAAAUUGGUUAGGAGAAAAAAAAUUCUAAUUUGUUUGUUCCAACAUUGGAAAGUUACUAAAAAUUAUUAAAUAGUUCCUUAUCUGGCUGCAUAAAAUAAGAUUUUCUUGCUAGUUCAGGAAAUGGUAAUGAAUGUAUAAUACUUUAGUUGGUUUGAACCCAUACAUAUCAUUGCGUAGUUAUUUUCUCUUUGGCUAAAUUUACUCAAUUUUAUUCAUUCAUUUAGUUAUUCAUUUAUUCAAUCAGUCAGUUCAUAAAUGACUAUUAAGUUUUGAAUAUGUGCAAAGCACUCUGAUACGUGUGAAUAGAUCAAGGCCGCUGUGCUUGAGCUUGAGGGAUGAAUAAUUAGUGAAAGCAAUGUGGUAAAUUCUAAGAUAGAAUUUUGCAUUAAGUAAAAGAAAGAAGGACUUGUCAUUUUCUCAGGCAUCCAGUAAGAUUCCACAGUGCAAUUUCCAAAAAUGCAAGUUAGUUCAGUGUGGUCGUUGAUUCUGAUGUCAACUCGACUGGAUUAAGGGAUACACAGAUAACUGGUAAAAUAUCAUUUAUUCUCAAUUAUUGCAAUAGUUAUUCUAAAUGUUUCAGCAGGCAGUGAGCCUGUUCAUCAUUUGCUGAAAGGGAAACUUUGUUGGUUUGGCAUUUGAUUAGAAUGAUUAAACUGCCCUGGGCGUGUCUGUGAAGAUAUUUCUGGAGGUGAUCUCAGUGGGGAAGCUAGUAGUCUGAGUGGAGAAGAACUGCUCUCAAUGUGGGCUGGUGCCAUGUGAUUGGAUGGGAACCUGGAUGGAACAAAAAAAAAAAAAAGAAGGAAGAGUGAAUUCUUUUUUACUGAUACACUGAUAAACAACAGUUGCACAUAUUUAUGGAGUACACGUAAUAUUUUAAUACAAGCAUAUAAUGUGUAAUGAUCAAAUCAGGGUAAUUGGGGUAUCCAUCACCUCAAGCAUUUAUCAUUUCUUUGAAUUUGGAACAUUCUAAUUCCAUUCCUCUACUUAUUUUGAAAUAUAUAAUAAAUCGUUGAUGACUGUAGUCACUCUGUUGUGCUACUAACUGUAUUUUCAUGCCUGUUAACAAUCGCUCUAUAUUGUCUCCACCUCCUCACUACCCUUCCCAGGCUCUUGUAACCAUCACUCUAAGCUCUGUCUCCAUGAGAUAAAGUUAUUUAGCUCACACAAGUGAACGAAAACAUGUGACAUUUGUCUUUCUGUGCCUGGCUUAUUUCACUUAACAUAAUGUCCUCCAGUUCCUCAAUGUUGUUGCAAAUGACAGAUUUUCUUAACUUUUAUGGCUGAAUAUUAUUCCUUUGUGUAUAUAUACUACAUUCUCUUUAUCCAUUCGUCUGUUGAUGGACGCUUAAGUUGAUCCCAUAUCCUGGCUAUUGUGAAUAGUGCUGAAAUAAACAGAGGAGGGCAGAUUUUUUUUGAUAUACCAAUUUUCUUUGUUUUGGGUAUAUGCCCAGCAGUGGGAUUGCUGGGUUAUAUACUAGUUCUAUUUUUAGUUUUUUGAGGAACGUCCAUACUGUCCUUCAUAGUGACUGUACUACUGUGGUGGUACACCAACUAUUUUGUGUUUACGUUCCCACCAACAGCAUCUGAAGUCUCCUCUUCCUCCACAUUCUCACCAGCAUCCAUUAUUGCCUGUCUUUUUGAUAAAAGACAUUUUAAACUGGGGCGAGAUGACAAAAGUUUCUUGAGUAAAACCUCAGAAGCACCAGGCACCCAAAGCAAAAAUGGACAAAUGGGAUUCCAUCAAGCUGAAAAACUUCUGUACAGCAAAUAAUCAACAAAGUGAAGAGACAACCCACAGCAUGGGAGAAGAUAUUUGCAAACUACUCACUUGACAAGGGAAUAAUAGCCAAAAUAUAUAAAGAACAUAAUCACCUUUAUAGCAAGAAAAAUAAUAAUUUGAUUAAAAAUGGCAAAAGAUAUGAAUAGACUUUUCUAAAAAGAAGACAUACAAAUGGCCAACACGUAUAUAAAAAAUGCUAAACAUCUCUAAUCAUCGAAGAAAUCAAAACCACAGUAAGAUAUCACCUCACUCCAGGAAAGUGAACUCUUUUUAUCUUUCUUCUGGAGCCAGAACACCCUUCUUCUCCUAGCCCUUGGAUAUCAGAACCUCAGGUUCUCCAGAUUUUGGAUUCCAGGUCUCUCUCCAGGGACCAACUGCUCCCAACCCAGCUCCACUCUCUCAAGCCUUCAGCCUUUAAUUCCAUCUGCUCCCUUAGUUCUGAAGCCUUUGGAGUUGGACUCAGCCACACUCCUGGCUUCUUUGUCUCCAGUUUGUAGACGACCUAAUGUGGGACUUCUCAGCUUCCAUCAUGCUAUGGGGCAGUUCCCCUAAUAAAUCCCCUCCUAUAUAUGUCUCUAUGUAUAUAUCCUGUCAACUCUGUUUCUCUGGAGAACCCUGACUACACCAUUCAGUAUAAUCCCAUCUAUAUUGAGUGCAUACCGUUUCUGUCAGACCAUGUUAGGUCUUAAAGACAACACAGGCUCACUGCCUUCCGGGAGCUCACAGAUUAAUAGGGAGACAAAUCUUUGGCCUUCCCUGUGGUACCAUAACUGUGGGAAUGUUAACAAGGCCUAAGCGGAAUACGAAGAAGAAAUAAAUAAAUUGAUAGUUGUCUUCUUGAUGACAGAAAUGUUUUAUUGGACUUUGAGGAUUGAGUGGUUCUCUAAAGUGUCAUGGCAAUUUUGUAGCAUAAUCCAGUCAAAGGGAAUAACAUGCAUGAAGGCAUAUCCACAAAGAGGAAUUGACAAACCUUCUGUUUAACAUGAUAGCCAUAGAAAGUGAACAAGAAGAUUCACAAAGGAGGGGACUAGGGAAUUGCACAAGGGAUAUGUAUUAGUCCUUUCUCACGCUGUUAAUAAAGAUGUACCUGAGACUGGGUAAUUUAAAAGGAAAUAGGUUUAAUGGACUCACAGUUCCACAUGGCUGGGGAGGCCUCACAGUCAUGGUGGAAGGUGAACGAGGAGCAAAGUCACAUCUUACAUGGCGGCAGGCAAGAGAGCUUGUGUAGGGGAACUCCCCUUUAUAAAACCAUCAGAUCUCAUGAGACUUACUCACUAUCAUAAGAACAGCACAUGAAAGACCCACCCCCAUGAUUCAGUUACCUCCCACCAGGUCCCUGCCACAACAAGGUGAGACUUGGGCGGGGACACAGCCAAA